This 538-nucleotide ribosomal RNA is filed under the name uncultured bacterium. Its description in RNAcentral is "bacterial SSU rRNA". It matches the Rfam family "Bacterial small subunit ribosomal RNA", at positions 338 to 870 of the family's 1533-position model. The record is from RNAcentral.
CCUACGGGAGGCAGCAGUGGGGAAUAUUGGACAAUGGGCGAAAGCCUGAUCCAGCCAUGCCGCGUGUGUGAAGAAGGUCUUCGGAUUGUAAAGCACUUUAAGUUGGGAGGAAGGGCAGUUACUUAAUACGUGACUGUCUUGACGUUACCGACAGAAUAAGCACCGGCUAACUCUGUGCCAGCAGCCGCGGUAAUACAGAGGGUGCAAGCGUUAAUCGGAAUUACUGGGCGUAAAGCGCGCGUAGGUGGUUCGUUAAGUUGGAUGCGAAAUCCCCGGGCUCAACCUGGGAACUGCAUUCAAAACUGUCGAGCUAGAGUAUGGUAGAGGGUGGUGGAAUUUCCUGUGUAGCGGUGAAAUGCGUAGAUAUAGGAAGGAACACCAGUGGCGAAAGCGACCACCUGGACUGAUACUGACACUGAGUGCGAAAGCGUGGGGAGCAAACAGAUUAGAUACCCUGGUAGUCCACGCCGUAAACGAUGUCAACUAGCCGUUGGGAGCCUUGAGCUCUUAGUGGCGCAGCUAACGCAUUAAGUUGACC